UUUUAGAAACUUUCAUCCUCGAAAGUACUAAUCCUCAAUAACUCUAUAAUAUCCCUGGGUAAUGAGCUCUCAUAUCAUCUUCUCGUUCUCAUGUCGCUUCUUUAACUCGAUGAUUCUGCCACAAUACUUUUACUAAUGAAAUUCCUCUAUUACGAAGCAUCAUCACUUCUCUAACCAGAAUCUCAACUGGUUGCACCACAUAGCUCAAAUUCUCGUCAAUCUCUAGUGGUUCAUAGUCCACUACAUGAGAUGGAUCUGCCACAUACUUUCUCAACAUCGAAACAUGGAAAACAUUAUGAAUUGCAGAGAGAAAUGGAGAGAGAAAUGGUGGUAAUGCUAAACGAUAUGCCACAACACCAAUUCUCUUUAAAAUCUCAAACGGUCCAACAAAACGAGGAUUUAACUUCCCUUUCUUCUCAAAAUGCAUAACAUCCUUCAUAGUUGCUACCUGCAAGAACACCUUAUCUCCCACAUCAAACUCAAGGUUCUUUCACCUCAGAUCUGCAUAACUUUUUUUUUUUUCUACUUUGCGUUGUUUGCGUACGUACUCUAAUAUUCUGAAUAAACUCAUUAGUAGACUAAACCAACUCAUAACCCAUCAAUCUCUGUUCACCAACCUCAUUCCAACAAACAGAAGUUCUACAACAUUUACCAUACAAAGCUUCAAACGGUGUCAUGCCAAUGGUAACCUGAAAACUGUUAUUAUAAGCAAACUCCAUCAAAUGUAAGUGAGAGUCCCAACUACCUGGAAACUCUAGAACACAAGCUCGUAGCAUAUCCUCUAAAACUUGGUUCAAACGUUCAGUUUGGCCAUCAGUCUGUGGGUGAAAGGUUGUACUAGAAAUCUAACCUCGUUCCCAUGGCAGUCUAAAGUCCCUUCCAAAACUUGGAAGUAAAAAGUGCAUCUCGUUAGAGACAAUAAUACGGGCACUCCAUGUAGUCUCACAAUCUCAAUCAAAUAUAAUUAUGCUCAUUUACUAGUAGUAUAAGUGGAUUUUUUUUUUUUUAAAUGAAAUGUGUCGAUUUCGUAAGCCUAUCGACAAUAACCCAAAUCACUGUGUAACCCUUCAGGGUUUUAGGCAAUUAUAUAAUAAAAUCCAUAGAUACAUUCUCCCACUUCCACUCUAAUAUACUCAAAGGUUGCAACAAACCUGUUGGUUUCUAUCUUGGUGCUUUAACCUGCUAGCACACCAAGCACUUACUAACAAGAUCUUCCAUUUCUCUCUUCAUAUUACGCUAGUAACAAACUCUUUUCAGAUCCGGAUACAUUUUUGUGCUACUUGGAUGCAUGAGAAAUGGGAAACUAUGAGUCUCAACCAAUAACCUUGUCUUAAUUGCAUUUUCUGUUGGCUCACAUAAUUCUCUCUCAAACAUAAGUUCAUCAUCAAAGGAUAUGGAAAACUCCUUAACUUGCCCUACUUCUACUAGGCAAUGCUUCUCAAUCAAAUAAGGAUCAAUGAAUUGAACCACAAGAAUUCUUUGUCUCAAGAUCGGAUGUACUGACAACUGAGCUAACUGUGAGGUGACUUCCCCCACUAAAACUACAAUCUCAGCUCUCUCGUGGUUUUUGUCUAAUGAAACCUGUCUGGUAAUAAGUGCUGUCAAAAUGUGAUACUUUUCUACAAAGAGCACCAACUUCCACAUUCGCCUUACCUAAAUGGUACAAAAUCUCACAAUCAUAGUCAUUUACUAACUGAAACCAUCUUUGCUAUCUCAUACUCAACUUCUUUUGAGUGAAAAAGUAUUUUAUACUCUUUUGGUUAGAAAAUAUCUAUAUCUUUUCAUCAUGAAUAUAUAGUGCCUUCAAAUCAUUAAUGUAAAAACCACAACUGUCAAUUUCAUAUCAUAAGUUGGACAAUUUUCCUCAUGACUCUUCAACUGACGAGGAGUACAAGCAACUACUUUAACUUGUUGAAUCAUAAUACCUUUUAAACUUUCCUAAAAGCAUCACUAUAAAUUACGAAACUUUCUGAACCAUCAUGUACGGUAAGCACGGGAGUUGUACAAGCUUCUGCUUAAGAUCCUGAACACUAUCCUCAUAGGCUUUGUCCCAAACAAACAGAGUCCCUUUUCUUAGUUAACUGAGUCAAAUGAGUAGCUAUACGAGAAAAUUCUUAUACAAACCGUUAGUAAUAACCUGCUGAACCCAAAAAGACUACGAACCUCACUGACUAUGAAAGGUUGAGGCCAACUGGUAACGACUUCAAUCUUUUAUGAGAUCCACAUAAAUGUCAUCUCUAGAUACCACAUGGCUUGGAAAGAUACUUGGCCUCAUCCAAAACUCACAUUUUGAAAACUUUGCAUACAAUUUGUUGACUCGAAGAGCCUCUAAAACCAUGUUAAAUGCUCCUCAUGCGCUGUCUCUAUUUUGGAAUAAAUUAAGAUAUCGUCAAUAGAUACAAUCACGAAAGUGUCUAAGAGAUCGUUAAACACUUUGUUCAUCAAGUCGUAAACAUUGUUUGAGCAUUUGCCAACUCAAAAGACAUCAUAAUGAACUCAUGAUGUCCAUAUCACGAACGAAAAUCUGCCAUAGGAAUGUCACUGUUCUCUAAUCCUCAACAAGUCAUAACUUUAAUGUAAUUCAAUCUUAAAGAACACGGAAUUAUUGCAGUUGAUCAAACAAAUCCUCAUUCAUUGGUAAAAGAUAUUUAUUCUUAACCGACACCUUAUUCAACUUUCUACAAUCAAAACAUAAGUGCAUCGACCCAUCUUUCUUCUUAAUAAACAAAAAUUGGUGCAUCCCAAGAUAACAUACUUCGUCGAAUGUAGUCCUUGUCAAACAUUUCUUUCAAUUGCACCUUCAAAUCUUUCAACUCUGUUGGGGCCAUUUUGUAUGAAGCUUUAGAUAUAGGAACGAGUCUAACUCUAUCUCAAUAGCAAGACCAAUUUCUGUUUAGCGCGGUAAUCUUAGAAACUCUUCUAGAAAAAUAUCAUAAUACUUUUUCACCACUGAUUCAAAUAACAAAGAAACAUCGACUUCUCUGGUGUCUACCACACUAGUCAAAUACAACAAGUACCCUGGUCAAGCAACUUACUAACCUUCAUAGUUGGGAUAACUUUUAGCGAAACGAUAGUUCCAACCUCUUUGUACUUGAAACUAGCCUCUGGAGAAGGAUUAGAAACUACAUUUUUGCUGAACAUUUUAUGUUCACAUGGUUAAACUACAUUCCAAUUUUCAAACUCCAAACUAGUAACUUUUCAUUCACGAGAAACUCAAAAUUGUUUCUUAAAGUCACAUCAAGACAACCAUGCUCAUCUUCCUUGUUUCUUUUCCAAUACCUCCAUUCUAAAACCAUUUAAUGUGUUUCGUAUAAACUUGACCGUGUAUUUAGUCCUCGUUAAAACCACCUACAUAACUUAUUUUUCUUAGAUUUCCAAUCACAAAACAGACAAUUUCGCUAACAACGUCUUACUUUUCUACUACUCGACCACUCCUUUGAACACCUCUACAUGACAACAUUUUUCCUAAAUUUCACCAUUAAAUCUGUCACCAUUAAAUCAUAACAUUCAUGUAAUUCUAGUUUAACUUAGGCAAGGUCAUAUACAUAAACCAUACAUAUAAGCAUAAAGCAUACCUGACGAGAGACGAAGGGUCGCGUUAGCCAUAGGGACACAAAAACAUAGACUUACAUCGUAAGUCAGUCUACAGAACCUAAAACUUAGGCUCUGAUACCAACUGUAACGACCCAACUUUUCUAAGUAAGUCGAGAUCGUUAAUUUUUAACAAAUAAAGACUUUAAUUAAUAUAAAACAAAACGUAAACAAUUAAAAAAAAAACAUCUUCAAGUCAGGCCUGAUUUUUAAACAUUCAAGAAAACAUAAAAUAGUACUAUUUACAACAAACGUUUGUAAACUAAAUUUCAAUUCAUUUUAAACCUCACAAGAACCCAUAAGCGGAAGCAAAAACACGUUUUCUAUGGCAUCACGCUUCCUUCCUGCCCCUCGCCUGUUUGCCGCCUUUAUUACCUUUGCCUGAAAAUUAAACAUAAGAAGGGUGAGUAUUUUAAAUACUCAGUAAGAGACCCUCUACUGGUCCCGUCAGGAGAAAAUAAAUUAUUAACGAUCUAUUGGGACACCCUGUACAGUCACAGUCUUGUGAUCCCGUAGGAUACACAUCUCAGUCUAACGCCCCGAGGGACGUACAUAUCAGUCUAGUGUUCUGCAGAAACACAUAUCAGUCUAAUGCUCCCGAAGGUGCAAAAUAAAUUGGUGAUCCCGUGGGACACCUACAAGGUACACAUCCCAAUAAAUCUAACAAUUUUCCCCUCAUUCCAUUCAAUCCAUCCUUCAGUUGCUUCAAAACAUAAAAUUUUUUCUCUCAACGUCCUAACAGUCAACUUACUUUACUUUAGUCAUCUGUCCGUCAAUAAUAUACUAAUACGUCAGUCAAUCAACUAUACAGUCAAUACACCCCUCAGUUCACCAGCACACAAUCAUACUUUAGCGUAAUCGUACACCCAAUCUAAACGAGAAUCACAAGUUCAUAUCUACAUCUCAUACCAACACAAUCUACAAUCUUCGUCAUGUCCACAUACACACACUUAUAUAUAUUUUCCAUGACAUUCACGAUAUACAUUCGACGUUAUGUCUACUUCAAUUCACAUGCAUUCAUAUAUAUUUUCAGUCAAACCACAGUAUACAUUCAACACACAUACAAUUCACAAUCACAAUUGAGCCCAGUAGAAAAUCCCUUACCUGAAAGUUAGGGAAGCUCCUUAAUCAACUAACGUCCUCGAAACAAUCCUAAGCAUAACAACACAAAAUUCAAUUACUUUCACAAUACAUAUCCCACUUAUUUUCCUCAACGUAAGUUUCAACUCACCGAUAUAAUGGCGAACUGAACCUUCAACAAUUCACAAUCUGGUUGUGAAUGUAAGGGAGCCUAACGUUACUCCCAACACCUCAACGCACGACUCGAACUCGCAGCAAAAUCCUAAGUGUGGGUCGGUUAGCGGUCGGCCAAAGGGAACGUGGCGGCUGGGCUUCACAGAUGGAGACCGUCACGAACAGACCGCGAAUCUGAACGGUUACAGCAACUAGUCGGCCGACGUCGAUAGCAGGUGGAGCGGCGGUUGUGAGCGGGGAGCGUGGUCGACGGAGACAGAAUCGGCGAUGGAGACGGCAGAUUGGCGCGCGGGACGACUGCUGCAAGGUUGCUUCGCGAACCGGAGAUGGCGGCCGACGGUUGCAGACGGAGAGGCUGCAGCGGCAGCUGGGUAUGGUAGAAAAGAAAGAGAAACGGAAGAAGAGAAAUUUGGGGUGGCCGGCCGUAGAAAACAAAAAGAAAAGAGGAAGAAAAAAGAAGAAAGAAAAGAGAAAGGAAAAGAGAAGGAAGAAAAGAGAUGGUUGUGGUCGUAGGUUGAACACGAAGAGAAAGGAAGAAGAUGAAUAGGAAAAGAGAAAAAUAAAAUAAAAUAUUAUAAGUAUAUUUUUUUCUUUCUUUUUCUUUUCUUUUAUUAUUAUUCCUUUUUCUUUUUUUUUCUUAAAAUAGAAUUAUUAUUAAUAAUAAUAUGAUUAUAAUAUAUUAUUAUUACUUUUCUGUUUCCUUUACUUUUCCUCUUCCCAAAACAAACAUUCUAUCUCUUCAUUAAAUACUAUCAAUUCCAACUUUUUAUCCCUUCUUUAAAAUAACAAAAUUUUAUAUUAUUCAAACUAAUUAUAUUAUUUCCAAUAAUAUAAUUUUCUCAUCCUUCCAUAACAUCAAACACAUAUAUCUAUACUCAAAAUCCUAAAAUAAAUUACCAAGAUCAUUCUCUUUUAUUCAUCCAUAACAAUAUAAAAAAAAUCAAUUUUCAUAAUUAAUUAAAUAUUCUUCCAUAAAUAUUCAAUUAAUUAUAAUCUUCACAAAACAAACAAAUCUCUUAAUUUAUCUAAAAUAACACCCAAAUAAUUCCAACUUAAAUUCAAUUCCAUUAAGAUAAAUUAAAUUUAAAAUUACCUUAAAUUUUGAGAUGUUACAAUAUAGUUUACUACAUGUUGUUACAACAUACUUAAGAUAUAAAUGUUUAUAUGACUAACAACAUAAUAUUACUAUAAGAUAAACAAAAAAAUAAAGAACAGAUUGAAUUGAAAAAUAUUUUCGAUUACUGUAUGUCACUAUAUAUGUCUGAUUGUAUAUAUCUCUAAGCAAUAUUACAUAAUGAGGUAGUAUAUAUGUAACAAAUCACAUAAUAUAUAUGUAUUAUGGAGUAGUAUAAAUGUAAUUGUUGAGCAACAAAUUUCAACCAAUGAAAUUACACCACGUCGUCGCACCCAAGUUGUGAUGAUUAUAAUUUGAUUGGAUUUGGGUAGUCAAGUUUUCCAACCCAAUUCAAGCCCCUGAUAAAAAAUCAGGCCAAACAAAGGGGCCUAAGCCCACUAAGAAAAUGGGCCCAAGCCCAAGUCCAAGCUCAACAACACAACAAGCAAAUGGGUCCAAGCCCACAUAAAGUCAACAAAUUUUCUCUAUAAGUAGAGACCUUUGUCAUUCAUUCGAGAGAUCUUUUGUUGAAGGAAGAAAUGAAGAUCUGAAGUACUGAAGCUUUGAAGAAUUGAAGAUUCAAACUUCUAUAGAGCUCUCAAGACGUGCAAGUUCUUAUCAACUUCGAGAUCAUCAUCUUCUGAAAUAUUGAAGACUUGGAAGAUCAAAAUUUCCUUAAAUUCCAGAAGACUGAAGCUGAAAUAGACCGAACCAUUUAAAUUCGGUUUGGACUAUUUGAGACAGCAACAAACUGUGUUUUUUGUUUUGUACAUAAAUGGUGUGGUUUGAUUCGGUUUUAACAAGCGGUUCAAUUUACACCGUUUAGACUUGAUCUUAUAUAAUGUGAAAUUAUUUUUUUUCUUUGAAUUUUUAUCUAAGUGUACUCAAAUUGUAUACCAUGUUACAAAAUUAAUUGCAAUAAAUUUUUUAAAAUUUUCAAAAAUAUCAUAAAUUGACUAAUAUUUUAUACAAAUAUAGAGUAAAAAUGACCAAUUUACUCUUUUUAUUAUUAAUAAUAUAUUAAAAAUAAAAAAAAAAAGUGAACCACGUUUAAGAUUUUCAUUUAUUAAAUAUUCUAUUAAAAUAUGGAUUAAAUUCUAUUAAAGUAAUAUUAAUAAUAAAAAUUGUCCUUAGUUUGCUUUUUAUGAUUUUAUUAAAAAAUUGUCCUUUUUUAUUUUGCAUUCUUUUUCAUAUAUUUUAUAUAAUUAUAGUAUAUAUUGAAUAAUAUAAUGUAUAUUUUAUUAGUGAAAUGUUCUUAUAUCAAUUUAUUUAUUUAUUUUAUUUCAAAUGACAUUAUAUCCUUUUUUAUUUUGCAUUCUUUUUCAUAUAUUUUAUAAAACACGUUUCCUAUGGCAUCACGCUUCCUUCCUGCCCCUCGCCUGUUUGCCGCCUUUAUUACCUUUGCAUGAAAAUUAAACAUAAGAAGGGUGAGUAUUUUAAAUACUCAGUAAGAGACCCUCUACUGGUCUCGUCAGGGGAAAAUAAAUUGUUAAAGUUCUAUUGGGACACCCUGUACAGUCGCAGUCUUGUGAUCCCGUAGGAUACACAUAUCAGUCUAACGCCCCGAGGGACGUACAUAUCAGUCUAGUGUUCUGCAGAAACACAUAUCAGUCAAAUGCUCCCGAAGGUGCACAAUAAAUUGGUGAUAUAGAUAUACACACCUAAUCUAAACGAGAAUCUCAUACAAACACAAUCUACAAUCUCCGUCCUGUCCACAUACACACAUUUAUAUAUAGAUUCCAUGACAAUCACGACAUACAUUCGACGUCAAGUCUACUUCAAUUCAUAUACAUUCAUAUAUAUUUUCAGUCAACCCCAGUAUACAUUUAACACACAUACAGCUCACAAUCACAGUUCACAAUCACAAUUGAGUCCAGUAGAAAAUCCCUUACCUGGAUCUUUAUAUAAAAUUCCUUAGUCGAACUAACUUCAACAAACAAACCCCAAGAGUAAAGAAUCGAACUCCAACAAAGCUUAAGGCGUAACUCAAGGACACUAACUCCAAAUCACCGAUGUCGCCUUCAAGAACAAAGAUCAAUUCAACCAAUUAAACAACAUCACAUCUUAAUGUAUUUACAAAUGUAAGACCUUAUUACCGAACAAUCUCAUCCUUACCAAUAUCUUGUAACAAGACUUUGACAAUCGACGUUAAAUAGAAGUUGCCGCAGGAUCUACACAAAAGACAUCGUGCAAAACACUUUUGCACGCGAACUGGUCCGCGAUUCGUAAAUGGGACAGCGGGUAUCGACGAAGGCAGAACGGUUCGGACGUUCAACAGCAGUUACGCGUGGACGGGAGUAGCCCGGCAACGUAGCCGAAUUCGUGCGAUGCGGCGUGACCUGCGUCGGCGAGGCUGUUCGUGACUGAGGCGUGCGACUUGCCUCGCGGACGGAGAUAGAGACGGCGGAGACGGUUGCAGAACCGUGGCUUCGACAGAGACAGAACCGGCUGAGACGGCUGGGCAGCGGCGGAAGAGCAACGGCGCCGCAUAUCUGGACUGGCAGCAGCGCGGUCUUGCUUCGCGGCGGGGCUGCGGACGGAAGAAGAAAAUGGAAGGAAAGGACCGGAGAUUGGCUGCGGCAGGACGGGAAGAAGAAGAUAGAGGUGGUGGUUGCGGCGGAAAGAAAAACGGAAGGGAAGGGAGGCGACGGUUUGCGAACGGGAGAGAAGGGGGAAGGGAUCGGCGCACACGCAGAAGAAGAAGGAAGAAAAGAAAAGAAAAAGAAAAAGAAGAAAAGUAAAAAUAAUAAAGAAAUUUUUUAAUAUUAAAAUAAUAUAUAUAAAAAUAAAAAAAAUAUAUAUAUAUAUAUAUAUUUACCUUUUCUUUGGGCAUUACAUUCUUCCCUCCUUAAGAAACUUUCGUCCUCGAAAGUUCUAAUCCUGAAAUAACUCUGGAUAACGAGUCCUCAUCUCUUCUUCUCGCUCCCAUGUCGCCUCUUCAAUUCGAUGAUUCUGCCACAAAACCUUUACUAAUGGAAUGCUUCUAUUACGAAGCAUCUUUACCUCUCUAGCCAGAAUCUCCACAGGUUGUUAUACAUAGCUCAAAUGCUCAUCAAUCUCCAAGGGUUCAUAGUCCACUACAUGAGAUGUAUCGGCCACAUACUUCCUCAACAUCGAAACAUGGAAAACAUUAUGAACUGCAGAGAGAGAUGGUGGUAAUGCCAAGCGAUACGCCACAACACCAACCCUCUCUAAGAUCUCAAAUGGUCCAACAAAACGAGGACUUAACUUUCCUUUCUUCUCAAAACGCAUAACACCCUUCAUAGGUGCUACCUUCAAGAAUACCUUUUCUCCCACAUCGAACUUAAGGUCUUUUCGCCGUACAUCCGCAUAAC
RNAcentral lists this long non-coding RNA (9294 nucleotides) under Cucumis sativus (cucumber). RNAcentral's name for it is "long non-coding RNA (CSAT_LNC000244)". Lineage: Eukaryota; Viridiplantae; Streptophyta; Magnoliopsida; Cucurbitales; Cucurbitaceae. The record is from RNAcentral.